RNAcentral lists this ribosomal RNA (447 nucleotides) under uncultured bacterium. RNAcentral describes it as "bacterial SSU rRNA". It matches the Rfam family "Bacterial small subunit ribosomal RNA", at positions 329 to 793 of the family's 1533-position model. The record is from RNAcentral.
AGCCAGACUCCUACGGGAGGCAGCAGUGGGGAAUAUUGCACAAUGGGGGAAACCCUGAUGCAGCGACGCCGCGUGAGUGAAGAAGUAUUUCGGUAUGUAAAGCUCUAUCAGCAGGGAAGAAAAUGACGGUACCUGAUUAAGAAGCCCCGGCUAACUACGUGCCAGCAGCCGCGGUAAUACGUAGGGGGCAAGCGUUAUCCGGAUUUACUGGGUGUAAAGGGAGCGUAGGCGGUAAUGCAAGUCAGAAGUGAAAGCCCGGGGCUCAACUCCGGGACUGCUUUUGAAACUGUGUUACUAGAUUGCAGGAGAGGUAAGUGGAAUUCCUAGUGUAGCGGUGAAAUGUGUAGAUAUUAGGAGGAACACCAGUGGCGAAGGCGGCUUACUGGACUGUAAAUGACGCUGAGGCUCGAAAGCGUGGGGAGCAAACAGGAUUAGAUACCCCGGUAC